GGAUGAACGCUAGCGGGAGGCCUAAUACAUGCAAGUCGAACGGUAACAGGGUAGCAAUACCGCUGACGAGUGGCGCACGGGUGAGUAACACGUACACAACCUGCCUUAUACUGGGGCAUAGCCUUGGGAAACUAAGAUUAAUUCCCCAUAACAUUGCGAGAUGGCAUCAUUUUGCAAUUAAAAUUACGGUGGUAUAAGAUGGGUGUGCGUCUGAUUAGCUAGUUGGCGGGGUAACGGCCCACCAAGGCAACGAUCAGUAGCUGGUCUGAGAGGAUGAUCAGCCACACGGGCACUGAGACACGGGCCCGACUCCUACGGGAGGCAGCAGUAGGGAAUAUUGGACAAUGGGCGCAAGCCUGAUCCAGCCAUCCCGCGUGAAGGAUUAAGGCCCUAUGGGUUGUAAACUUCUUUUCUUUGGGAAUAAAAACCGACAUUUAUGUUGGCUUGAAGGUACCAGAGGAAUAAGCACCGGCUAACUCCGUGCCAGCAGCCGCGGUAAUACGGAGGGUGCAAGCGUUAUCCGGAUUCACUGGGUUUAAAGGGUGCGUAGGUGGCUUUGUAAGUCAGUGGUGAAAGCCCGGAGCUCAACUCCGGAACUGCCAUUGAUACUGCUUAGCUUGAAUCAGGUAGAGGUGGAUGGAAUAAUACAUGUAGCGGUGAAAUGCUUAGAUAUGUAUUAGAACACCGAUUGCGAAGGCAGUUCACUAUGCCUGCAUUGACACUGAGGCACGAAAGCGUGGGGAUCAAACAGGAUUAGAUACCCUGGUAGUCCACGCCCUAAACGAUGUAAACUCGACAUUAGCGAUAUACAGUUAGUGUCCAAGCGAAAGCGUUAAGUUUACCACCUGGGAAGUACGACCGCAAGGUUGA
Molecule: ribosomal RNA, 870 nt
Filed under: uncultured bacterium
Lineage: Bacteria
Description: bacterial SSU rRNA
Rfam family: Bacterial small subunit ribosomal RNA
Source: RNAcentral